UUUAGACAUUCACCUAAAUAUCAAUUAUUUCUUCUCGAUCCCAAAAAUAUUAUCAUCAUAGGUAAGCCUGUUUUGAUAUAGCCAUGAUAUCACAUCGUUACCUACAAAUAGGGCAUGAAGGAUGAAAAAGAUGCAUCAUAGAAUUCUAGGAAAUGCUUUGUUCACUAGACAAAUAUUAUCUGUCCAACCUCAGAAGGAAACAUACAAAACAUGUUUACCAUGAAGCAUAUCUGAAAUGUGGUGCAUCCCAUCAAAUUAGAAAACCAAAUUUGCACAUGCAGAUGCAUAACAGUUAGAAAGUAGGGAUCAUCUGGUAAAAUAAAUUUAAGACAAAAAGAAGAAGCAAACAAUGGAAAAGGAAUAGAAGACAUUUUUUUGUCUCGUGCAUGUACUAUAAAUAUUAUAGACUGCUCACCAGCUUACUUAAAUGCGUGAAACAUGUUGAAACACUGAGACUUGAGAUCCCAACUAGCCUACUUUUUCAUAUGUGCAGCACAACUCACUUAAACUGUUAAACAUGAUAAUAAGAAUUCUGCAGAAAGGCAAGUAACAACAUAGCAAACUUCACUACUUCAGUGAAUACUAAUAUGCUUGCUGGUAGAUGUGCUAACAAACUCUGCAAAAACAAUGCCCUAAACUAUCAAAAGUAUUUUGCAAACUGGUGCACCAAAACUUGCAGCUUUCAAUUUGAAAAAUGGUAAGAGGGAAAGAAAUGGAAAUCAAAAAUGAAGAAAAAAGAAAAAGAACAGCACGGGAAUCAGAAAUGUUUAUAGCAGAAUCAAAAGAAAAUAAGAAAGGGAAAAGAGAGAAGGUUGUGCAUGUUUCAAACUUUUUAUGCAGCGGCUUAACAGUUAGUUCUUUUACAGUUUACUAUAGUGACAUUUAAAGCUAUUAAUGAUCUUAAUCCACGGAACACAAAAAAAGGAUCUACAAGAAUGUUCAGAAGGAGUCUACUAAAAUAUAGCCACAAUAACAAAUACAGGGGUUGAUAAACAAAAUCAUACCUCCAAGUACUCAAAGAGCUCCACCACACCAUCUCGGAAAGCAAUUGCAGCAUCAGACACAGAUUUUUUGAUAGCUUCAUACGUAAGACCACCUUCAAUAAGGAGACCAUGAGUCUUCUCCCACCUGUAGCACAUACCAACUUCAAGUGUCAGCUAUGGCCAUUAGACAUCUAAUCAAGUUCAUGACUUCAGGUUGCACUCCAAAGUGGUGACAUUUUAUUAUUGAGAAGAAGAAUGAACACUGUCAGAGCACACUUCAAUCACUGCACCCACAACCUAUAUGCCAACCAACACCAAGAAGAUGUUCAUUCCAACUUAUCAGAAUGGGUUCUUGUGCAGCAUCGUGAACUCAAUUGCAACUGGCAC
RNAcentral lists this long non-coding RNA (1370 nucleotides) under Setaria italica (foxtail millet). RNAcentral's name for it is "long non-coding RNA (SITA_LNC006572)". Lineage: Eukaryota; Viridiplantae; Streptophyta; Magnoliopsida; Poales; Poaceae. The record is from RNAcentral.